AGAAAAGAAUCAUUGAUUUGAAUGCGUCUUCAUGGCUUCAUAGUGAGGAAUUCUUUUAGUUCACAUGUCAUUGAGUUGACAUCUAACAGCCUCAUUGUUCAAGCCACUACUCCUGCAAAAUUUUUCCUUUUUCUACCUAUUCUAAUUACUACUUCAAAUUCCAGAUCUUUCUUUGAGCACAGUUUUGGAGCAUCUCAUUUUCCAUCAAGAUACUUUAUUCUAUCAUUGAUGCAAUCAAUAACGUAUCAUUGAUGAUCUCAAAUAAUAUUAAUUUAUCUUUGCUCAUUCUACUGCAUAUUGAUGGAGACAUCUGAGUAUGGAA
RNAcentral lists this unclassified non-coding RNA (322 nucleotides) under Hevea brasiliensis (rubber tree). Lineage: Eukaryota; Viridiplantae; Streptophyta; Magnoliopsida; Malpighiales; Euphorbiaceae. The record is from RNAcentral.